This 347-nucleotide unclassified non-coding RNA is filed under the name Hevea brasiliensis (rubber tree). Lineage: Eukaryota; Viridiplantae; Streptophyta; Magnoliopsida; Malpighiales; Euphorbiaceae. The record is from RNAcentral.
ACAUACUCGGAGUAAUUCGCCCAGAUCAUAUUUAUUGAAGGCCACUGCUCUUAUUCUGCUUGAACAAUACGAGGAUGCACGUGAAGCACUUCUUUCAGGCCUUCAACUUGAUCCUUUUAGCCAUCUCCUUCGAACUUACCUUCAGGACUUGGAGAAGAUUUCAACUGGUAAACUUAAGAAGAUAAUACAACGAACAGAUGACUUCGAAUGUACCCUGUGCCUGAAGUUGUUGUAUGAACCGGUCACUACUCCUUGUGGACAUUCUUUUUGCCGUUCUUGUCUUCUGCAGUCCAUGGACCAUGGUAAUAAGUGUCCUAUGUGCCGGACAAUCCUAUUUAUCAGUCCCA